This 253-nucleotide ribosomal RNA is filed under the name uncultured bacterium. RNAcentral describes it as "partial 16S ribosomal RNA". It matches the Rfam family "Bacterial small subunit ribosomal RNA", at positions 524 to 776 of the family's 1533-position model. The record is from RNAcentral.
UACGAAGGGAGCUAGCGUUGUUCGGAAUCACUGGGCGUAAAGCGCACGUAGGCGGAUGUGCAAGUCAGGGGUGAAAUCCCGGAGCUCAACUUCGGAACUGCCUUUGAUACAGCACGGCUUGAGUCCGAUAGAGGUGGGUGGAAUUCCUAGUGUAGAGGUGAAAUUCGUAGAUAUUAGGAAGAACACCGGUGGCGAAGGCGGCCCACUGGAUCGGUACUGACGCUGAGGUGCGAAAGCGUGGGUAGCAAACAGG